RNAcentral lists this small RNA (117 nucleotides) under Macaca mulatta (Rhesus monkey). RNAcentral describes it as "Metazoan signal recognition particle RNA (ENSMMUG00000061060.1)". Lineage: Eukaryota; Metazoa; Chordata; Mammalia; Primates; Cercopithecidae. The record is from Rfam by way of RNAcentral.
GCCGGGCGUGGUGGCUCAUGCCUGUAAUCCCAGCACUUUGGGAGGCCGAGGUGGGCGGAUCACCUGAGGUCAGGAGUUCAAGACUAGCCUGGCCAACAUGGUGAAACCCCAUCUCUA